This 465-nucleotide ribosomal RNA is filed under the name uncultured bacterium. Its description in RNAcentral is "partial 16S ribosomal RNA". It matches the Rfam family "Bacterial small subunit ribosomal RNA", at positions 28 to 507 of the family's 1533-position model. The record is from RNAcentral.
GACGAACGCUGGCGGCGCGCCUAACACAUGCAAGUCGAACGAGCGAGAGAGAGCUUGCUUUCUCGAGCGAGUGGCGAACGGGUGAGUAACGCGUGAGGAACCUGCCUCAAAGAGGGGGACAACAGUUGGAAACGACUGCUAAUACCGCAUAAGCCCACGGUGCCGCAUGGCACAGAGGGAAAAGGAGCAAUCCGCUUUGAGAUGGCCUCGCGUCCGAUUAGCUAGUUGGUGAGGUAAUGGCCCACCAAGGCGACGAUCGGUAGCCGGAAUGAGAGGUUGACCGGGACUAUUGGGGGUGGCACCAGGCCCGAACCCUCCGGGGGGGGCGAAGGGGGGAAGUUGGAACAGGGGGGGAAACCUGAAGGGAGGGGGCCCGGAAAAGGAAAGAAGGUGGGAGGAUUAUAAACCCCUGUUUUUGGGGAAAUUAUGACGGUACCCAAACAGAAAGGUGCGGCUAAAUUCGUG